This 70-nucleotide transfer RNA is filed under the name Marmota monax (woodchuck). RNAcentral describes it as "tRNA.Ala". Lineage: Eukaryota; Metazoa; Chordata; Mammalia; Rodentia; Sciuridae. The record is from RNAcentral.
GGGCUGGGGCUGAGCGGCAGAGUGCUCUCCUGGCACGUGUGAGGCCCUGGGUUCGAUCCUCAGCACCACA